UACGGGGGGGGCAAGCGUUGUUCGGAAUUACUGGGCGUAAAGGGUGCGUAGGCGGUUCCAUAAGUCAGUGGUGAAAUACUCUAGCUUAACUAGAGGGGUGCCAUUGAUACUGCGGAACUUGAGUGAAGUCGAAGUAGGCGGAAUUGACGGUGUAGCGGUGAAAUGCUUAGAUAUCGUCAAGAACACCGAUAGUGAAGACAGCUUACUAGGCUUAUACUGACGCUGAGGCACGAAAGUGUGGGGAUCAAACAGG
Molecule: ribosomal RNA, 253 nt
Filed under: uncultured bacterium
Lineage: Bacteria
Description: partial 16S ribosomal RNA
Rfam family: Bacterial small subunit ribosomal RNA
Source: RNAcentral